AGUCUCUAUAUCACUGGACCAGACGAUUUCAGCAUUUUCAAACAUUGUCAAUGGUUUCUCAGAAUGCCUUGUCCAGCGUUGCCAGAAGGGUUUGUAUUUGAACCUUUAAAAAAUUUAAUUAUUUUAAGAAAA
Molecule: long non-coding RNA, 132 nt
Organism: Xenia sp. Carnegie-2017
Lineage: Eukaryota; Metazoa; Cnidaria; Anthozoa; Malacalcyonacea; Xeniidae
Exons: 2
Source: RefSeq, a predicted model, not a curated record